Long non-coding RNA from Lolium perenne, 1004 nucleotides. RefSeq lists it as uncharacterized. Lineage: Eukaryota; Viridiplantae; Streptophyta; Magnoliopsida; Poales; Poaceae. The record is from RefSeq and is a predicted model, not a curated record.
GGCAUGGGUCACGGACGAGGACGACACAUCCACCGAAUACCAUUAUCGCACCUCAUGGGCCACUCAGACGCAAAGCACAUCCACCAGCUAUUGUCCAGCACUCACAGACCACCAUCUUUCCAACCUAUCCCAUGUAUCCUCCAUCGCCCUGUGGGCUGUGGCGCAGCCAUGAAGAGCACUAUAGCAUGCAAGCAGCGGCCAAAGGAACAGGACCGCCGCCCAGGUUACUUGGAUGGCUGGAAGCGAGGACCCGGAUGGUCUAGUAGAUUGGAACAUAAGGAAAAUGAAGCAAUCCGUGUGCUAUUUCUACACUAUGGAACGCAAUUGUAUAUUUGUUGCUAAUAAUCUAAAUCAUAACAUAUAUCACUGGCCAAUAUCUAUGAAAAUCUCGGACAGGAAAGGUAAAUUUGGUGCUUACAAGCUGGAUUUGGUACGACAUAUGAUAGAGUAGAUUGGAAUUAUCUGGAAGGAAUUCUUGAAAAGCUGGGCUUUGCUAGACAGUGGAUUAAAUGGGCGAUGACUUGUGUUAAGACUGUCAAAUACUCAGUUCGUUUGAAUGAAGAUGUUCUGCAAAGUUUUGCUCCUUCAAGAGGCACGCGUCAAGGUUACUUGGAUGGCUGGAAGCAGGACCCGGAUGGUCUAGUAAAUUGGAACAUAAGGAAGAAGCAGAAGCUGCUCCUGUUGACAUCCUCUUCAGCCUAGGAUGAAUUCAGGAAAAGGUACGAAAAGAAGGCAAAAAAAGCAAAUGAAAAUAGAGUAAAAAUCUUGGAAACCUAUGAUAGCUAUUUCUGUUAUGUUUUCUUCUGUAGCUACCUUAGUAGGAUGGUUAAAAUAUGCUAGGAAAUUGUGCGGCCGAAGGCCUGAAAAUGAUGCAAUAUGCUCUAUAAACUGACACUGUUUCAUUUUCAAUGCAAAAUGACGCGGUUUAUUUGUAAUGAGAAUGUAGGACCUCUCGGCUCAUAACUGAGAUUGAAAAUGAACCAAUCUCUGUGCUAUUUAUACUC